This 1393-nucleotide long non-coding RNA is filed under the name Papio anubis (olive baboon). RNAcentral's name for it is "lncRNA (ENSPANG00000051004.1)". The record is from RNAcentral. Lineage: Eukaryota; Metazoa; Chordata; Mammalia; Primates; Cercopithecidae.
AUGGAGCAUUGCAAGCAGGCAGCCGCCCGAGGCGAUGUCCACAUGGGAGGCCUGUGUGCUUCGCCACUUUUCCAAGUGGGUUUCAUGUAUACAAAGCUUGAGGUCUACUGCAUCGGCACUGAGUGUGGCAUCACAAUAAAACCCAGGGUGUGUGUUAGAACUGUUCUCUCUCGAAAGCAAUGGAUCACCUUUCCUUCAGGGUUCUCUCUCUUCCUUUGGUAAAUUAGCUUCUGGGAUUUAUGCAUGGGACCAAAUACACUGCUACACUGAAGCUGAGUUCAGUUUUUAACCAUUUAUACUAAAACGUGAAAGUUAAAAGGGGCCAGAACAUGUAAAAUAAUAAUCUGAGCACUGCUUUUAGAAUACAGCAAAUGAGGCUAUCUUAGUUUCACAUAUAGACAAUCCCCCAUUAUAAAUUUAUUUUUUGUGUGUUUCUAACUCUCUGCCCUCUACUCAAAGCCCUGGCCCAAAAUGCUCCCACACAAGGUUUUAGGUGGAGGGAAGGAAACAGAGUUCCCUACCAUAAGAAUCCCAUCUGAAGGGAGUUUCCCAUCAAUUUACUAUUUAGCAUGAAAAUUCAGAUCUUUCUAACAACAAUGGGACUCCUGAUAAAUACUUCUGAGACGUUCCUGGUAUUUGGGAAACAAGAAAUAAUAUUGAAACGUUAUCUAUUUUUGAUACAUACUAGAGGUGUGGGCAAUAAGAUAGAUGCCUAAUUUAGUAAAUCAAUCACAAUAGAUGACUUCCCACUACAUUUUAAUAUCAAAUAAAUGAUGAAUACUUUUUUAGUUUUUUUGUUUGCUUUUCGUUUUUUGUUUUGUUUGUAUCUUGUUUUGCUUUGUUGUUUCUUGUUUUUUGUUUUUUUUUGAGACGGAAUCUUGUUCUGUCUCCCAGGCUGGAGUGCAGUGGUGCGAUCUCGGCUCACUGCAAGCUCCGCCUCCCGGGUUCACGACAUUCUCCUGCCUCAGCCUCCCGAGUAGCUGGGACUACAGGCGCCUGCCACUACACCUGGCUAAUUUUGUGUACUUUUAGUAGAGAUGGGGUUUCACCUUGUUAGCCAGGAUGGUCUCUAUUUCCUGACCUCGUGAUCCACCUGCCUCGGCCUCCCAAAGAGACUUUUUCAGUUUUUAUUAUAAAUGAAUUAGUCUGUUCAGGCUGCCAUGACAAGAUACCACAGACUGGGUGGUUUCAACAACAGAUAUUUAUUUCCUACAGCUCUGGGGGCUGGAGGUUCAAGAUCCAUGUACCUGCUGAUUGGGUUCCUGGUGAGGGCGCUCUUGCAGGCUUUCAUAGACAUCCUGUACAGGACAUAGUUAUACCAAAAUAAUAUUACCUGCUGAUGAUCUGAAGUACAGAUUUACCAAAAUAUCCCAUAUUUUAUUUUAUUUUAUUU